GCCAGGCGUGGUGGUGGGCGCCUGUAAUCCCAGCUGCUCCGGAGGCUGAGGCAGGAGAAUCGCUUGAACCCGGGAGGCAGAGGUUACAGUGAGCUAAGAUAGCACCACUGUACUCCAGCCUGGAUGACAAAGCGAGAUUCUGUCUCAA
Unclassified non-coding RNA from Macaca fascicularis (crab-eating macaque), 148 nucleotides. It matches the Rfam family "Metazoan signal recognition particle RNA". From Rfam's summary of the family: The signal recognition particle (SRP) is a universally conserved ribonucleoprotein. It is involved in the co-translational targeting of proteins to membranes. NCBI's taxonomy places the organism in Eukaryota, Metazoa, Chordata, Mammalia, Primates, Cercopithecidae. The record is from Ensembl.